This 292-nucleotide ribosomal RNA is filed under the name uncultured bacterium. RNAcentral describes it as "partial 16S ribosomal RNA". It matches the Rfam family "Bacterial small subunit ribosomal RNA", at positions 505 to 796 of the family's 1533-position model. The record is from RNAcentral.
GUGCCAGCCGCCGCGGUAAUACGGAGGAUCCAAGCGUUAUCCGGAUUUAUUGGGUUUAAAGGGUGCGUAGGCGGCCUGUUAAGUCAGGGGUGAAAGACGGUAGCUCAACUAUCGCAGUGCCCUUGAUACUGACGGGCUUGAAUUGACUAGAGGUAGGCGGAAUGUGACAAGUAGCGGUGAAAUGCAUAGAUAUGUCACAGAACACCGAUUGCGAAGGCAGCUUACUAUGGUCUUAUUGACGCUGAGGCACGAAAGCGUGGGGAUCAAACAGGAUUAGAAACCCUAGUAGUCC